Molecule: non-coding RNA, 329 nt
Organism: Rattus norvegicus (Norway rat)
Lineage: Eukaryota; Metazoa; Chordata; Mammalia; Rodentia; Muridae
Product: Nuclear RNase P
Source: Ensembl
GCCAUGAGGAAGCUUACACAAGGUGGGGUACUCCCAAGCCUAAAUACACAGUUGGCAGGCGGCUCUGCUGUGUGCAGGUGUCCAUGGUCCCUGGGAAGGUCUGAGGCUCUCCCCAAGUAGGAAGAUAAGUUCGCAGACAGCAGGGUUCCAAGUGUGGGCAGACUGGGCAGGAGAGGCCCUGAGUGGGUGGAUGUCUCCCUUGACAGAGUUUGGAACAGACUCCUGGUCAACAGCCAUUGAGCCUGGCUUUCCUCUAAGCUGCCCAGAUUGGGACUCAACACCGCUAUAGAUAUGGGGAGACUAUCAGUCUAUCACCAGUCUCUGUUGGC